AUAUAUAUAUAAUUUGGAAAACGACAUGAAUUUUCUUUUAUUUACUUUAUACAGGUGUUCUCCAGUUUUUGAAAAGAACAGAAAAGGUGGAAGUACCUCAAGCGACAUUAAUAAUUCCAGAAAAAUCAGAGAAUAUCGAAAAGACCUCACUGAAAAGAAAGAUUGAUACUGCACAUUUUGUUCACGAGAAUAAAGAGAAUAAAACA
Molecule: long non-coding RNA, 206 nt
Organism: Odontomachus brunneus
Lineage: Eukaryota; Metazoa; Arthropoda; Insecta; Hymenoptera; Formicidae
Exons: 2
Source: RefSeq, a predicted model, not a curated record